GCACAAACACAAACAGUGGCGUGAGCUCCGUCCUCGAGGAACACACUGCACCGAGCGGAGCACUUCUUGUACCCAACCUACGUGCGGGCGCGCGCGCGCGGUUCCGCUCCGGCAGGGCCACGGGUCGGCGCCGGCGGGACGCGCGCUGCGUGACACCGCAGCGGAGAGCGGAUCCCUUCCUGCAGAGGAUCAGAGGCUGAAGAAUUACCAACGGGAUGUUUCAUUAACGCUCCAGUGGCCUUGUGGGGCAUCAACUGCACUGCGUACGGUUUCAGGCUCCUCCGUGUCAGUGAACAGGGCAACUGAAGGUGGAUGUCCUCCACAAGCCCUACUGGCACCCGUGUCCAAAACUGAGUGCAACCAGGAGAAGUCCUGCUGUCGGAGAUGGUGGCUAUCUAACAGGAGUAUCGCCAUGAGUUGGAAUUCAGCUGAGGCUCAAAAUGCUCUGAGAAAUAAAGCUCUAUAAAUAUGUGCAACAUAAUCUGCCAGCAAGGUAUGCUGAUGUCGUUAAGUGCCAUUGAGUCGAUAUUUACUCUUUUUGACCAUGUAUGUAAAGAUGCUCCAGAUUCUUCUGUCCUCCUCUAAUGUCCUCUGUCUUGACUCCGUUGAUCUGGUUGCUCCUCAUCCUUUUUUUUCUUCCUCCAGCUUUUCCAUCAUCACUAUCUUUUAGAGAGAAUCCAGUCUUCUUGUGAUCUAUGAUGACCUUAUUGUCAUCAUCUAUGAUUCCUGUGAGAGUUCUAACUUGAUUUAACCCAACAUCCAUCUGUAUGUUUUCCUGGCUGUCCACAGUAACCUUAACUGAGCACCACAGUUCAAAGGAGUUAAAGUUUUUCUUGUAGUAUUUUUUUCAUGACCAUCUUUCACAUGCAGUAAAGGUAUGAAGAUCAAAAUCAAACGUGACUAGUGUGCACCAUCCAUAGACUCAGUGCUUAUUUUAAUAUUACUCUACUUUAUG
Long non-coding RNA from Scleropages formosus (Asian bonytongue), 955 nucleotides. RefSeq lists it as uncharacterized. The transcript has 3 exons. Lineage: Eukaryota; Metazoa; Chordata; Actinopteri; Osteoglossiformes; Osteoglossidae. The record is from RefSeq and is a predicted model, not a curated record.